Molecule: ribosomal RNA, 481 nt
Filed under: uncultured bacterium
Lineage: Bacteria
Description: bacterial SSU rRNA
Rfam family: Bacterial small subunit ribosomal RNA
Source: RNAcentral
GAUGAACGCUGGCGGCGUGCUUAACACAUGCAAGUCGAACGGAGUAGUUCCGCUGACGAGACUUCGGUCAAAUCUUGGGACUACUUAGUGGCGGACGGGUGAGUAACGCGUGGGUAACCUGCCGUAUGCUGGGGGACAACAGUUGGAAACGACUGCUAAUACCGCAUAAGCGCACAGUACCGCAUGGUACAGUGUGAAAAACUCCGGUGGCAUACGAUGGACCCGCGUCUGAUUAGCUAGUUGGUGAGGUAACGGCCCACCAAGGCGACGAUCAGUAGCCGGCCUGAGAGGGUGAACGGCCACAUUGGGACUGAGACACGGCCCAAACUCCUACGGGAGGCAGCAGUGGGGAAUAUUGCACAAUGGGGGAAACCCUGAUGCAGCGACGCCGCGUGAGUGAAGAAGUAUUUCGGUAUGUAAAGCUCUAUCAGCAGGGAAGAAAAUGACGGUACCUGACUAAGAAGCCCCGGCUAACUACGUG